This 231-nucleotide unclassified non-coding RNA is filed under the name Glomeraceae sp. RNAcentral's name for it is "partial contains 5.8S ribosomal RNA and internal transcribed spacer 2". The stretch from base 1 to 71 matches the Rfam family "5.8S ribosomal RNA", at positions 84 to 154 of the family's 154-position model. The record is from RNAcentral. Lineage: Eukaryota; Fungi; Glomeromycota; Glomeromycetes; Glomerales; Glomeraceae.
GUGAAUCAUCAAAUCUUUGAACGCAAAUUGCACUCUCUGGCAUUCCGGAGAGUAUGCCUGUUUGAGGGUCAGUAUAACUAUAAAUCGAUGUGUUGCUGUUUUGUAACCCAUCGGUGUUGGGUUAUCUUUGACCUUUUAAAAAGUUUAAGUGACCUAAAAUCGAUACCUUGUGCAUCUCAGACUUACAUAAGAAUAUUUAUUUAUCCGUCAGGAGUUGCCAACUUUUUAUUA